AUUGUCUCAGGGCAGCAACAUAGAAGGCCUGUCCCUGUGUAACCACCAGAUGAGCUGCUGGCAACUGCAGCUGAACCUCUCCCAAUGAUCCUAAUGGGCGAUGGGGCUCAUGGUGGAGAAGACAAAGAGAAGAUGGAAGGACCUGCGAACAGCUCAGAAGAUCCACCUCGAGACUUACAAAUCUUACUGAGGCUUGGUCUGGCCCACAGGGCAACAGGGCAUAUUCCCGGUGCUCCCCAGCCAUGUGGUGCCCCUGAGCCCCAACUCCCUUAAUUACCUAUUCUGCUCAAAGCUCGGCACCCUCCCCACAUACAUUCCACUGCCCUCCCAGUGCCCCCAGUCCGGCCCUGAUCUUACUACUUUCUCUUUGGCUUCUGAGGUUACAAGUACUACUGUGAGACAAGGGUUUUUUAAAACAUGGUUAACAUUCCCAGUAUGCUAAUUCUAUGCUAGAUCCCAAAUUCCACACUUGCUUGAUGCAAAUGUAGACGUGUGGGAUACACACAGCACUGGGCAUCUUUCUUUUUUCCUACUGACAUCUCAUCCUGUUAACGUGAAAACAGUCCAUCACAAAGCAAAGCCUCUGAUCUCCAUAGGGAUACAGGAAGCCAUGAAGCUGCGAUGUCCUCUAUCCGAUUCCUUAUGUGAUGCUAUGAGAACUGAAGGAAACUUCAGUUGCUUUGCUCUCUCUGCAAAGGCAAAGAGGGGACAGCCGCAUGAGGGGGGGCAUCGGGGCAAUCAACUUAUGCUGAGUCAGACCAUUCAUCCAUUGACCUAGCUGGCUACUGCAGGGGUUCUCCAAUUUGGGUCCCCAGAUAUUCUUGGACUACAUCUCCCAUCAGUCCCACCAGAAGGCCAUUGCAGCUGGGGAUUAUGGGACUCCAACAACAGAGGACCCAAGUUUGAGAACUCCUGGUCUAUUGUGACUGGCAGAAAAAGACUCUGGCAGAAGUCGUGCAUCACCCUGGUAGUCAAGAGUCUUUGGCUGAUGACAUCUAGGGCAUUUUGGCUCUUCAAUGUUUUGCUUUAAUAACUGUGAAUACCAUCUGGGAGGAGGUCAUUUUAUUUUAUAUGAAGGAAAAAAAUGAAUGGGAAAAUAACUCAAGCAACCAUCCUCUAUACACGUACAUGGGAGUAACCCCACUAAAGACAGUGGGACUUACUCCUGAGAAAGCAUGCACAGGAAAAGGAUGUGAGGCAGCAAUCUUAUGCAGCCUUGCUUGUGAGCUAGUCCUUAUCUGCACUCAGGAAGAUGUCCUUCCAAGUAUAUAUAUGCAUAGGAGAAGGCUGUAAGCAAACUCUUUCCUUUGCCUUGCAUAUGAAUAAUUUAUGACUCAGAACUCUGCCGCCUUGAUGGGUUUAGGCUCAAGGGUGGGUAUAUGACAAAUGCCCAAACACUCCCAUCUGUGAAACACAGUGUCAUCCGGUCUCCUGUGGCACCACCAAGGAACGCCCCAGCACUGUUGUAGUAGGGCAAAGAGCAUGACUUCAUUCUGUUUCAUGUGCAGCAUUUCCUGUGAGUGGGUGAUUCAUACCAUGACUUUGCAUUCCAUGCACAAUUUUGUAAUAUGCUCCUUAUUUCUCUAAGUGGUGAGUCCAGGGACAGAGCCACUGGAUAUACUUUCAUUUGGAGUAGAGGACACUGGAGAUUUAUGAGACCUAUAGUGUGCCAUAAGCAACACUUCUCAAUCAGCACAACCCGUAGCUCAGUAGGGCAAUAGUUCAGUGAUAGAACUGCAUUAGGUUCAAUCUCUAGAUUCCCCAGGUAGAGCUGGGAAAGAUCUCUGUCUCAAAGCCUGCCAGUCAGUGUACAAUAUUGACCCAGAUGGACCAAUACUCUUCAGUAGAAGGCAGCUUCAUGUUCUCAGAGGCUCCCCCCACGAGCAACCUAGCUCAAGCUAGGGCAGCCUAGCCUAGGUUAGGCUGCUUGUGUGGAGUGCCAGGAUCUGCACCGAUCCUGGUGCUCCCACCCAGCCAAACCUUACUUUUAAGCCUGACCCUUAGCUGAGGUUAAAGGGAGUGAGUGCUCCCUUAACCCGGCUGCCAGGAUCAUGUGUGUCCUCAAGCUGCACACAGCCUGAGAAGACGUAGAGCUGGGCACCUAAAGCGCCUGUCUGAUGGGGAAAUUCCCCAAUGCAUCACACUCGGCAUGCGGUGAAUUGUGGGAUUCCUGGAGGACGGGAUGCAUCAUCCCAGCCUCCGGAGAUCCACGCUGCUUGAUGAAGCAUGGAUUGUGGGGGAGCAUGCUUCAUGCUCCCAGAAAUGUAUUUGCUGUUGUCUUGGGGAGAAGGUAAGUUUGGAACAGCCUCCCCCCGCCUGUCUGCCUGGCUGCCCGCUUGUGCGGUCAUGUGGAUACCCUUUCAAAGUCUUUGCAAUUUGCUUUAAGUGGAGAAAAAUAGCAGGCACUCCUACAAAGCAGUAGAUCCAGUAAUCCACAUCAUAUCCCCAAGGAGAAUGAAUCUUCAGUCCACAAUGCUUCAUCUUCAUUCAACUCAUUGCUUUCUUUCUCCCCUGCCCACUUUCUUUCUCUCUGCAAAUUCAAAAUUGCCAAUUGCUGUUUCUUACAUAUAAUCUACUAAGCACUUAUGUCAGGCUCUACCAUGGCAGGUAAGCCCAUUGAGGAGACAUCUACAGCCAUUAAAGGAACAUUAAGGUUCAAAAUGCAACAAAUGGUGAGUAUGAAUAGUGACUGAGAUACUGUGCAAACUUCCACCUGCCUUGUAAUGAAGGAUGUGUGCAAUUGUGCAAGAGCACUUAUAUAAAGAGGUGGAAUUGCACAGAGUUACAUGAUAGAUGGCCAUUAUUUCCCAUAGCUGUCCAUCGUGCAACUCUGUGCAAUGUUGCACUCUUGAGCAAUAACAGUCUUGCACAAUCAUGUGCACGCAUAAUUAUAUGGCAGCCAGACAUUUGUGCAGAAUCUCAGCACUAUGAUUACUAUUACUAUCAUCAUCAUCAAUUAUUAUAUUAUGAUCAGUUAUUACUGUUGUCUGUACUUAGCUACAAAUGCUAAGGGAUAACUAUUAAUGCUAAAUAAUAAAAUAUUAUUAUAGUAUUUAGUGAUAAAUGUUAAUUGUUAUUUUAAUGAUUAUUAUUGUCAAAAUCCUAUAUAGAGAUACUUGAGUCAAAACCAUAGUGAUAGAUCCACUCACAAUCAGGAUACUUACAACAAUGUUCGUUUUUCCAAGAGGCAACAAUUCUGAAUUUUUGCUGGUCUAUGAUCGUAACAAAUACAUAACAAAAAAGAGGAAAUAGGGUUAUCAGUAUAGCACCAAGAACAGACUUUCUAGUAUACACUUUCUUCCCAUAGAAUGCCCUCCUAAAGCUAAUUCUGUAGUAUAUUUUUGUUGGAUAGUAAAAUUAUACUUGCUAAUUACAAAAUCUGUCAGGGGAGUAAGGCUCAUUGAUACAAUUUCAUAUACUAGGGUUUUUUUCCCUUCAAAAAAUAGCUUCCUCUAAGGGCAGGAAGAUUUUUUUUUUUUAAUUAUGGCUUUAAAUUGCUGAUUCAGUGCAUGCAAAACUCUUAAAGGACCACCCAUAACAUAUGUUACAUCUUUUGAGGUCUCCUUCAACUAUCCCUCUCCCUUUUUACAAUGUUUCCCAUUUUAACCGAUACCACAUCUCCCUGUUAGCACGGCUUGGUUACUCCUCCCAGAUCCCUGGGACGUACACUAUGGAAAAUUCCCAUGCUAUUGCAACCUGUCAGAAACUGCUAAUCCCCAUGUAGAUUAAAUGCUAGAUCAGGGAAAGGAAUCACUGGGCCAUGGCAAGAAAUUAAGCCUGCAAAGGUUGUGCACCCUGUACCAGUGGUGUAAGAAGUGCAUAGGAGACCCAUAUUUGGGCCGGCUGCCUCUCCCAUUUGGCGGCACACACGCACACACCCCAGUGCCUCCCAUGGGCCCCCUGCCUCCUGGACGUAUAAUAAUCUGCUAGGGGGUAGCUGGAACACAACCCUGGCCAUCUCUCCUGUCCCUGGAGACAGAACUGAGGAAACACUGACCUGAGUGAUGCCAUCCUUGGCCUUUCUCUGAAGCAGCAGGAUCCCCAGACUGCUAAGCCUCUCCCAAGUCCUAACCUCUUUCCAGGAAAGCAUUUGCACUUGGAUAGUGGCAAGAAAAGGGGAGGGGGAAUGUUGUCCUCCAGCAAUGCUGGGGGUGGAGUGGGGGAGAUAGAGUGUGACCCGACCCCCUCCCCUGAAGGAGGACCCUCCCCAUCCCAUGCUCUGGGGUUAGUGGUGGUUAAGCAGAGGGGGCAGGGCAGCCUGCCCUGAGCUGCUCCCCCAUGGAGGCUGCUGCCACCGACGCUGCUACCACCGACAUGCACAGCACAGAGAAAAGGAGUGCCGGGGACGCCACCAGGUACCCGUCACAGUGAGUGUGGCGGCCUCGACAGGAGCUGCGCACAGGUUUUGGGAACCUGUGCACACAGUUACAGCUCUGCCACUGCACCGCACCCAAACUCCUGAACAACAUAACUGUUCUUUGUUGUGACCAUUCCUAUUUGGCAUUUAAGCCCCAACCUAGCAGUGCAGAAAGCAAUAGUAUGGACAAGUCCUUUGUGCGAUAGAAGGGUCUGUUUCUUUAAGUGGAGGCUGCUGUAGCCCACUUUCUAUUUCCAUCAGAUUCUCUCGCUUUGCUUUCUCAUGUAAUCAGCCACACCAGCUCAUUUGCACAAAUAACUGCUCCCAGGUGGAUAAUAUUCAAAAGCAGCAGAAAGGGGGAUCAAUUAGUAAUGUACUGCCAAAAGGGAGAUAAAUUGGCAGGUCAAAAAUGAUUAUUUUUGUUUCACGUGUCUGUACUUUCUCUAAAAUAUCCAUGUACAGAGUGUACUGUCCUGAAUGUCCUUUCUUGAAGUCACUGGCAUGAGAGUGCAUCUUUUAUGCCAAUUAUCUUUUCCAUGUGGAUCCAGUGAAUCACUGGUUAGUGCAAGGCCUUUGUAUUGGCUCCCAGUAGUUUGGUAUUUGUAGGGGUCUAGUGCUACCAUCUUUGUGAAUUAAGAUGUACAGAUGGUGCCCAGAUUUAGCAUCUUGCUCCCCCAAAACAUUUUUAUGCGACUGGAAAAGAAAAGGAAACUGAUGUCAUAGAGCAAAUAUGAGCUAUUAAAGAUUAUAUGUUGUGGGGGGAAACAGCUCAUCUAGAUGUUAUGGCUGUGGCUGACAGUGAUUAAAAAAAAUAAAAAUAAAAUUUAAAGUCAA
Molecule: long non-coding RNA, 5191 nt
Organism: Hemicordylus capensis (graceful crag lizard)
Lineage: Eukaryota; Metazoa; Chordata; Lepidosauria; Squamata; Cordylidae
Exons: 2
Source: RefSeq, a predicted model, not a curated record